AACGAACGCUGGCGGUGUGCUUAACACAUGCAAGUCGAACGAGAACGUUUCCUUCGGGGAAUUAGUAAAGUGGCGCAAGGGUGAGUAACACGUGAAUAAUCUGCCCUCGAGAUCGGGAUAACUUGGCGAAAGCUAGGCUAAUACCGGAUAAGACCACAUUUUUAUAAGAAAUGUGGAAAAAGGAGCCUCAACCUCCACUCGAGGAUGAGUUCGCGGACCAUUAGCUUGUUGGUGAGAUAAAAGCUCACCAAGGCUACGAUGGAUAGCCGGCCUGAGAGGGUGAUCGGCCACACUGGAACUGAGACACGGUCCAGACUCCUACGGGAGGCAGCAGUGGGGAAUAUUGCGCAAUGGGCGAAAGCCUGACGCAGCAACACCGCGUGAGCGAUG
RNAcentral lists this ribosomal RNA (390 nucleotides) under uncultured Nitrospina sp. RNAcentral describes it as "bacterial SSU rRNA". It matches the Rfam family "Bacterial small subunit ribosomal RNA", at positions 29 to 410 of the family's 1533-position model. The record is from RNAcentral. Lineage: Bacteria; Pseudomonadati; Nitrospinota; Nitrospinia; Nitrospinales; Nitrospinaceae.